Non-coding RNA from Aedes albopictus (Asian tiger mosquito), 74 nucleotides. NCBI's taxonomy places the organism in Eukaryota, Metazoa, Arthropoda, Insecta, Diptera, Culicidae. The record is from Rfam.
AGCUCCGUAGCUUGGAGGAAAAAAGCGCUCGUCUAGCGAAUUGGUAGUCGUGGGUUCGAUUCCCACCGGGGCAC